GUAUUCCCCAGUUACCGUCUUUGGUGGUCCCUGAGAAUGCUCUGACUGCUUUCGAAGUAAACGUAGCAGUCGAGUAUCCUUAGGAACCAGUGAAUUACGGUUCUUUUUUGAAUACC
This 116-nucleotide microRNA precursor is filed under the name Caenorhabditis remanei. Its description in RNAcentral is "mir-237". The stretch from base 17 to 96 matches the Rfam family "mir-237 microRNA precursor family". The record is from RNAcentral. Lineage: Eukaryota; Metazoa; Nematoda; Chromadorea; Rhabditida; Rhabditidae.